Molecule: RNA transcript, 1509 nt
Organism: Cyprinus carpio (common carp)
Lineage: Eukaryota; Metazoa; Chordata; Actinopteri; Cypriniformes; Cyprinidae
Gene name: CD209 antigen-like protein D
Exons: 4
Source: RefSeq, a predicted model, not a curated record
UUUAUUUAUAUUCUGUUCGUCGUAAUCCAAAACUCUUUGUAUUUAUAUGGGAUGUUGUGGAAACGCAACAAUAAAUGCAAAAACACAACAUUUAUAUUCGCUUUUUAAUUUAUAUUAAAAGUUUAUUCAUCUGAAUGUCUACUUCCGCAUUCCAAUCCUGCUAACAGCGUCAUAAUUAUCUAUACCAAUAAGCUGUAAAAUCGUCACUCAUCUGUACACCAAUAAGCUCAUCUUAAUCAUAAACCAAUAACCGCUGAGGUGGGCGGGGCGACACCUCCCCUCGUCCAGACUGCACUCUGGCCUACUUGCUUACUGCUGUGUUUCCUGUAUCAUCAAUAUAAAGGUCCAGUUUGGCCUGUUUAAGGCUGCUUGAGUUUAUUUGAGUGUUCACAGACUCCUCUUGUUGGCUUCUGAAGCUGAUAACAUGUGGUUGAUUGUACAAAGCACAAACAUAGCAGUACAGCUCUGCAGAGAGUUUUUAAGUGUGACUGAAGGACUUUAUUUUUGUCAAAGGCCAGUGUGAAGUGAAACCACUUCCUGUGUAAAUUUAACAGUAUUUAAAAAAAAAAACAUUCUAAAUAUGACAGUUCACUGUGAAGAUACACUAUCAGACAACCGUGGAUAAUGGAUUUAGAGGCUAUUUAUGAAAAUGUUGAACGCAGAGAUUUUCAGAAAACAACUGGUCCUCAAACUCAGAGUCAAAGCCAAGAUGAAGGAAAAGAUCUAAAGCACAGAGGAAGUAGAUGUUUGGUGUUGAUCACAGUGGGUCUCGGGCUCAUUUGUGUUCUUCUGCUGGUCUUCAUCAUACUGCAGCACAACACCAUCACAGCAGAGAGAGACCUGAUCAAGAGUUACAAGAACACAGUUAAGGAGCUUAAUCAAACCAUCAACAGCUUACAGGACAAUUACACUGAUCUAAUGACUGAAAAACACCAACUGCAGAACAACUUCAACUCUUUGAGUCAGAAGAACCUGGAGCUGGAGACCAAAGUCAAUGAUCUCACUGCUGAGAAAAACCAGUAACAGAGAGAUUUUAAAUCUCUGAAUGAGAAGAAUGGUUCAGUUUGUUUUUUCAUGUCCAGUGAGUUGAAGAGCUGGUCUGACAGCAGACAGUACUGCAGGGAGCGUGGUGCUGAUCUGGUCAUUAUCAACACUGAAGAGAAGCAGAAGUUUAUAUCUUCAUUCAUCAAAGAGAGAGUGUGGAUUGGUUUGUCUGACAGAGAGCAGGAGGGCGUCAUGAAAUGGGUGGAUAAUUCAACACUGAAACAAGGGUUUUGGAUCAAAGGUGAGCCGAAUGACGAACAUGGAAUUGAGGACUGCAUUGAACUGACGCCUUCACAUCCCGCACUGAACUGGAAUGAUCUGCCAUGUUCAGAGAUGAGAAAAGGGUUUUGUGAGAAAUAGGAUAUGGUUUUGCUUCUGUUGUUUUAUGGAAUCAUUCUUAUUGCGACUGCAUUAUAUAUGAUUCAGGUUUCUGCCUUAGCAGUCCACUAUUUUCUUUUUAUAUAA